This 38-nucleotide ribosomal RNA is filed under the name Donnellia commutata. RNAcentral's name for it is "partial 5.8S ribosomal RNA". Lineage: Eukaryota; Viridiplantae; Streptophyta; Bryopsida; Hypnales; Sematophyllaceae. RNAcentral also lists the same sequence under 1 other name. The record is from RNAcentral.
GAACAACUCUCAGCAACGGAUAUCUUGGCUCCUGCAAC